Small nuclear RNA from Phyllostomus discolor (pale spear-nosed bat), 135 nucleotides. RefSeq annotates it as U4 spliceosomal RNA. The record is from RefSeq and is a predicted model, not a curated record. NCBI's taxonomy places the organism in Eukaryota, Metazoa, Chordata, Mammalia, Chiroptera, Phyllostomidae. The transcript has a single exon.
AGCUUUGCACAGUGGCAGUAUCGUAGCCAAUGAGAUUUAUCUGAGGUGAGAUUAUUGCUAAUUGAAAACAGAAUUUCAGGUUUGGUUCUCUUCAAUGAGGAAAACCGAAAAGCUUGUGUGAAAGGACCUCAGGUU